UACCUGGGUGCAUGCUGGGACGGGGCGAGCAGGUAGUGCAGGCUUCCAGGCCUCUCCUGCCCCGGAGCUUGGCUGCAGGACUCCCGCAAAAUCUCCAAAUGCCCCCGAUCUGCGUGGUCACCGAGAAGCAGCCCGGCUCGGAACAAGCCCAGGCAAGCCCAGGCAGAGCCCGCCGCCGGGUCCUCCUUCCUGCUCGUGCCACCAGGCCCCGGGGCCGCGACGCGUCUCUCCAGCCCGGGAUCCGGGGAGCUGGGCUGUCCCCAGACCGACGGGACAGCGGCAUCUCCUCCACCUGAAAAGGAAAGAGGACCAGUUUGCAGGACUCCGAACUGGGCCCGCGAGAUCUCCACCUGCGCAAAACGAAAGGGCGGAUUCUCCUUGGACUCACGAGGCAACCGCUCCCCGGGGUGAGAACGGGGGACUCAUUCCUCCGGCACUGGGAGAAGACGAUUCUUUAGGAGGAGGACAGGGAAGCGAAUGCUACCCAGAAGAGAGGUCAUCUCCUGGUACAAGAAAAUGGGCUGUCUUCUGGAUAACCGCAGCAAUUCAUCUCUGAGUAGCUGAAGGUCAUUAGUAUGCAUUAUACAAGUGGAACCAUUUGAGAGAAAAGAGGGAACUCACUGGACACAAAAGUGCACUGAGACUGUGAACAGCAAGUCCCGAACAAGGACACAGAGAUAGAUCCCAAAGGGAAAGGCUGGAGGGGGAAGGAUGCGACCCAGCCGCAGUGGCUGAUCCAUGAGGGCUCCUGUCUGGGUUCGUGCUGCCAAUCAGUAGCAUUCCCCAGGCAAGACGUGGGCGCCAGGCCUGACUUGAAACCCAAGGUUGGCUUCAAGAUCUUGCAGCUGGAUCAGAAUGCUGAGUUCAUCGUUGCUGGUGGGCCGCCGU
This is a long non-coding RNA of Homo sapiens (human), 888 nucleotides long. Ensembl annotates it as long non coding transcriptional activator of miR34a. Its record names the gene LNCTAM34A. The record is from Ensembl. Lineage: Eukaryota; Metazoa; Chordata; Mammalia; Primates; Hominidae.